This 301-nucleotide ribosomal RNA is filed under the name uncultured bacterium. RNAcentral describes it as "partial 16S ribosomal RNA". It matches the Rfam family "Bacterial small subunit ribosomal RNA", at positions 509 to 807 of the family's 1533-position model. The record is from RNAcentral.
CAGUAGCCGCGGUAAUACGUAGGUGGCAAGCGUUGUCCGGAAUUAUUGGGCGUAAAGGGCUCGCAGGCGGUUUCUUAAGUCUGAUGUGAAAGCCCCCGGCUCAACCGGGGAGGGUCAUUGGAAACUGGGAAACUUGAGUGCAGGAGAGGAGAGUGGAAUUCCACGUGUAGCGGUGAAAUGCGUAGAGAUGUGGAGGAACACCAGUGGCGAAGGCUACUCUCUGGUCUGUAACUGACGCUGAGGAGCGGAAGCGUGGGUAGCGAACAGGAUUAGAUACCCCUGUAGUCCCUGUCUCUUAUAC